Molecule: ribosomal RNA, 560 nt
Filed under: uncultured bacterium
Lineage: Bacteria
Description: partial 16S ribosomal RNA
Rfam family: Bacterial small subunit ribosomal RNA
Source: RNAcentral
UGGGGAAUAUUGGACAAUGGGCGCAAGCCUGAUCCAGCCAUGCCGCGUGAGUGAUGAAGGCCCUAGGGUUGUAAAGCUCUUUCAGCGAGGAGGAUAAUGACGUUACUCGCAGAAGAAGCCCCGGCUAACUUCGUGCCAGCAGCCGCGGUAAUACGAAGGGGGCUAGCGUUGUUCGGAAUCACUGAGCGUAAAGCGCACGUAGGCGGACUUUUAAGUCAGGGGUGAAAUCCCGGGGCUCAACCUCGGAACUGCCUUUGAUACUGGAAGUCUGGAGUCCGAGAGAGGUGAGUGGAACUCCGAGUGUAGAGGUGAAAUUCGUAGAUAUUCGGAAGAACACCAGUGGCGAAGGCGGCUCACUGGCUCGGUACUGACGCUGAGGUGCGAAAAGCGUGGGGAGCAAACAGGAUUAGAUACCCUGGUAGUCCACGCCGUAAACGAUGGAAGCUAGCCGUCAGGGUGCAUGCAUCUUGGUGGCGCAGUUAACGCAUUAAGCUUCCGCCUGGGGAGUACGGUCGCAAGAUUAAAACUCAAAGGAAUUGACGGGGUCAUAGCUGUUUCCU